RNAcentral lists this ribosomal RNA (484 nucleotides) under uncultured bacterium. Its description in RNAcentral is "partial 16S ribosomal RNA". It matches the Rfam family "Bacterial small subunit ribosomal RNA", at positions 30 to 507 of the family's 1533-position model. The record is from RNAcentral.
AUUGAACGCUGGCGGCAGGCCUAACACAUGCAAGUCGAGCGGAUGAAGGGAGCUUGCUCCUGGAUUCAGCGGCGGACGGGUGAGUAAUGCCUAGGAAUCUGCCUGGUAGUGGGGGAUAACGUCCGGAAACGGGCGCUAAUACCGCAUACGUCCUGAGGGGGAAAGUGGGGGAUCUUCGGACCUCACGCUAUCAGAUGAGCCUAGGUCGGAUUAGCUAGUUGGUGGGGUAAAGGCCUACCAAGGCGACGAUCCGUAACUGGUCUGAGAGGAUGAUCAGUCACACUGGAACUGAGACACGGUCCAGACUCCUACGGGAGGCAGCAGUGGGGAAUAUUGGACAAUGGGCGAAAGCCUGAUCCAGACAUGCCGCGUGUGUGAAGAAGGUCUUCGGAUUGUAAAGCACUUUAAGUUGGGAGGAAGGGCAGUAAGUUAAUACCUUGCUGUUUUGACGUUACCAACAGAAUAAGCACCGGCUAACUUCGUG